CAUUGACUGUUAAGGAAUUGUAAUAAGGUACAAGGAGCCAAUUGAUUGCUCAAGUGUAAACACUGUGCUCCUCAUUUAAAGUCUAAUAAUUUCCCCAAUCAAAAAGCUCUCCUGUCUAUAAAUUAUCCCACCAUCUCUCACUGAAGAAAACAGAUCCUUUCAAAAAGUGUUCAAGGACCUUCAUACUCCUAAAGACAUGGAACAGAUUGAAAAGUGAGACUCUAAUAAUCAAAAAUGAUCCCAGAUACUACAUGACACUAUGCUCAGGAUCAUGGAAGAGAAGAAGGGCAGAGUCUGUCUGUAAGAGGUGCAUAGGGGAGCAAUUCUCAUGUUCAGUGCAUGAAACUUGAUGAGCUUGGAAAAGAAAAGGAUUCAGGGAGAGAAACAAAUUCAGGUAUCAUUCUUGACACUACCUGGAGAAACAGUAUGGAG
RNAcentral lists this long non-coding RNA (432 nucleotides) under Manacus vitellinus (golden-collared manakin). RNAcentral's name for it is "lncRNA (ENSMVIG00005011692.1)". The record is from RNAcentral. Lineage: Eukaryota; Metazoa; Chordata; Aves; Passeriformes; Pipridae.